CAAGCGGUGGAUGAUGUGGAUUAAUUCGAUGCAACGCGAAAAACCUUACCUACCCUUGACAUGUCUGAGAUCCCGAAGAGAUUUGGGAGUGCUCGAAAGAGAAUCGGAACACAGGUGCUGCAUGGCCGUCGUCAGCUCGUGUCGUGAGAUGUUGGGUUAAGUCCCGCAACGAGCGCAACCCUUGUCAUUAGUUGCUACGAAAGGGCACUCUAAUGAGACUGCCGGUGACAAACCGGAGGAAGGUGGGGAUGACGUCAGGUCCUCAUGGCCCUUAUGGGUAGGGCUUCACACGUCAUACAAUGGUCGGGACAGAGGGCAGCCAACCCGCGAGGGGGAGCCAAUCCCAGAAACCCGAUCGUAGUCCGGAUUGCAGUCUGCAACUCGACUGCAUGAAGUCGGAAUCGCUAGUAAUCGCGGAUCAGCAUGCCGCGGUGAAUACGUUCCCGGGUCUUGUACACACC
This 461-nucleotide ribosomal RNA is filed under the name uncultured bacterium. Its description in RNAcentral is "bacterial SSU rRNA". It matches the Rfam family "Bacterial small subunit ribosomal RNA", at positions 926 to 1391 of the family's 1533-position model. The record is from RNAcentral.